RNAcentral lists this unclassified non-coding RNA (275 nucleotides) under Hevea brasiliensis (rubber tree). Lineage: Eukaryota; Viridiplantae; Streptophyta; Magnoliopsida; Malpighiales; Euphorbiaceae. The record is from RNAcentral.
GCUUGUUGCGAAGAAGAAGCGACUACAGAGACAACAAUGGAGGGAGAACCGACUCGAAUAAUGCUUGCAGUGAAUCAGUCAACCAUCAAGGGCUAUCCACACCCUUCCAUAAGCAGCAAAAGGGCUUUCGAAUGGACUCUCCAGAAGAUCGUCCGCUCCAACACCUCUGGUUUCAAGUUCCUCUUCCUCCAUGUCCUAGUGCCUGAUGAAGACGGUUUUGAUGAAGUAGAUAGUAUUUUUGCAUCACCUGAUGAUUUUAAAGAGUUGAAACAAAG